Non-coding RNA from Aegilops tauschii subsp. strangulata, 138 nucleotides. NCBI's taxonomy places the organism in Eukaryota, Viridiplantae, Streptophyta, Magnoliopsida, Poales, Poaceae. The record is from RefSeq and is a predicted model, not a curated record.
CGUUUACUAAUCUGGAUCUAGGUCAAAUUUUACAGUAGCAAAAACUUGUUUGAGUAGGUUAAACGGAAAUAGAAUUUCGAGACGAAACUCUAGGCGCUUGAAUCGCCUGAUUCCGAUAAACGAGCGAAAAGUUAAACA